RNAcentral lists this unclassified non-coding RNA (659 nucleotides) under Hevea brasiliensis (rubber tree). Lineage: Eukaryota; Viridiplantae; Streptophyta; Magnoliopsida; Malpighiales; Euphorbiaceae. The record is from RNAcentral.
AUUGUUGCCGUGAAUAUCAUUGUUGCUUGCCUUGUGUUGGUGCUUGCGUGAUUGUUGGUUACUUGGGUAACUUGUUGUUGCCGUGGCCAUUGUGAGUUGGGUUGCUCAUUUGGUUGCCGUGAGUAUUUGUUGGUUGCUUGUGGUGUUGAGUGAGGUUCAGCCAUUGUUGGGUUUGGGUUAUAAACCUUCUUGCCGUGAGACUCCUUGGUGGUUGAGGUUGUAGUUGGCAGCCGUGAGUGUUAUUGUUGCUUGAGUAACUUGUUGGCACUUUGAGGCGCAUUGUUGGUGCUACUCACUUGUUGUUGCCGUGAGAGUUUGGAGGUGUUGCCGUGUGACCCUCCUUUUGUUGUGAGGUUGGUGUUGCCGUGUGAACCUCUUUGUGGUUGGAGUAUUGCAAGUUGCCGUGGGCUUCCAUUGUAACUCAUUGUGGUGUUGAAUUGUUGGCAUUAUCACCUUGAUUGCCGUGAGGUUCUUGGAGUAUCCUAGGGUGUUGGAUUAUUGCCGUGAACUUUGAGGUGAUUUGGUGUUGGGACAUUGCCGUGAGGUUCCUUGGCUUUUGGAACUUGUUUGGGAUUGGUUGCCGUGAGCCUUUGGUAUAAGGGUGGUAGCCGUGGGAUCCUAGGGACUUUGAGGCUGACUUGCUUGUGGAGUGCAAGUGC